Molecule: long non-coding RNA, 1553 nt
Filed under: Nicotiana tabacum (common tobacco)
Lineage: Eukaryota; Viridiplantae; Streptophyta; Magnoliopsida; Solanales; Solanaceae
Description: long non-coding RNA (NTAB_LNC006904)
Source: RNAcentral
UCAUGUUUAAAACUAACUUGAAGUUCAAUAUAAAGCUAUUAAUUGUAAGUAUGCAUGGAAAGAUAAGGCAUGCCUUUAAUUAUUUGAAAAGAAACUGGGCCUAGCAGGCCCAAUACAUUAUCUAAAAGGAUCUUUAAGAGAAAUAUGGUUGAAGGGAACAAAGGCACCAUUAUGUAAAAUAAGGAUCGUUAUUAAUCCUGAUUGACGACAAAGCCUAACCCAUAAAUAUUGCAAGGACUAAACGAACUCAAACUAACAGGAAAAAAGCAUCUCACGUUAUAUUUUCGAGACUAUAUAUGAGGACAAAGGUGCAAGUGGCCCCAAUAGCUUCGAUUGGGCCAAAUACCAGGUCCGACCUUUCGCAGAUAAGCCUCCUGUAUUAGGAACCCUUUUUUAUUAUACUAAACAAAAAAACUUAAUGGAUAAAAUUGCUGAAGGUAGUUGUGAUCGAAAUUGAGCCCAAAAAGGGAGAGAAGACAGAAGCAAAACACGUUGAGCCUAGUUCCAACCAGGCUGCCUUAUCUGGGCCAAAGCCCGACCCAAUUACUUCUAGCAAGGGGGGCUUUCCAUAUUAAGGAGCUAUUGAGGCUUGGUUCCAUACAACAAAAACAUUACACAAAUUCUGAAAAUCAAAGUGCUGAACAAACAUUGAUAAUCAUGAUCUUCCAAAACAAUUUGUAAAUGAAAGUGACAUUACAUGAUUAAACAACUUUAAACUACAUUUAAUCAAAAUGAUAAAGAAAGGAUCAUAGCUCAAACAACAAAUAUCUAAUUACAUCAACAAAACAAGACUUUAUCAAUUACAGCCUUCAAAUUUGAUUGAGUCUCAAUCAACCACAGAAUUAGAUGCUGCUUCUAGGCAUAGAACCAACACACUUCAACCUUUUGUAGCCAAAAUUCAUUGUACUCACGCUUUUAAGGAGUAAAUCUGACCAACUGGUAGUCAAAUUUACAUUCUUAAUAUUGCUUCAAUCUAAAAUAUCAUCUCUCAAAUAGAUAUCCCUCAGCAAAGAUAUCAUCACUAUGAAUAACAUCAAAGACUAAGAAAGAAGGAACUCUGAAUAACAUGCCGGGCCAAACCAACAGUCAAAAACAUUAAUUUAGAAGAAUAAAUGGAGAUAAAUUUGGACAAAACUAACACAUGUAGUCAAAAUCUGAUACUUAGCACAAACAGAUACAAAUACUCAAACAUGGAUUACACAAGAAAUUUCAUUCAAUGGAAAAAUAUAAAAGUGCAGUCACAUACCUAAAGGUAGAAAAAGAAGGACGACAGAAAGAAGACCACAUAAAGGUCAGAACAAUGAAAUCUGGAGAUCAACCAAGCUUAAACAGCACAACAUAAGCAACCAAGAUACAGCAAGACCACAACUCUAAACUUAAACCAUGCUCGAACCUUUGAAAACUAGAAAUUCCCAAGAGAAAACUUGUUCUAACUUUUUUUUUUGAAAUCAGAUUUAGAUCAAAUGCUAAUAGAACAGUAGUGCUGAACCUUUCAGGGUAUUCUUAGGGUCUGAAAAAUCUCCUAAAAUGAGUGAAGAAAGGUUCUAUUUAUA